AUGAGGACCGAUGAUAACACUUCAGCCAAUCAGUCGGGUGAUAUGCUGACAGGCUUAUUGCCUCCAGCUAAGAGGAAGGAUGUGGGAAAGCCUACGACAAGCAGAGAGAAAGCACUGUAUGAUGGACUGAGUAAGAUGACAAGAUUAUGCAUGAUUUUCAGUGACAAGCACACAAACGGAUACCCUGCCCUGAUCGUGGGGAUGUACAAAAACAGCCUUGGAAGCCAGGAAGAUGCAAGAAUUGUGGCGUUGAAGGCCAUCGUCGAUACAACUACCACAAAGUGGCUGAGCUCAGGCUGA
RNAcentral lists this ribosomal RNA (300 nucleotides) under Triticum aestivum (bread wheat). RNAcentral's name for it is "partial small subunit ribosomal RNA". Lineage: Eukaryota; Viridiplantae; Streptophyta; Magnoliopsida; Poales; Poaceae. The record is from RNAcentral.